GGGGCCACAGUUUGUGGAGCGGAUUAUCCUGACUAGGGACAAGACAGUGGUCAUGGGAGACUGCUCAUUGAUGACAAAGACAACAUUCAAGGUUGGGUCUAUUAACCUUGACCAUCUCCAGGCGCCUGGCCUGCUGGGAUUAAGGAGAGGAGUAAAAAUAACCAGAUUACAGACCGCACGUUCUGUCUUUACUGCCCCAGGCCUAGAGGAGACCCCAAGCUGGGAGCACAUCUUGUUCACCUGCUGCCACAAUCAGCACCUGGCCCUGCCCCCCACUAGGAGACGGCUGCUUUCCUGGAGUGAUGACUGGAGGGGCAUCAUAGAGAGCAAGCGAGCCAGCCUGUGAAGGACGGGGAGGUGGGUCAGCAGGACCCUGCCUGGACAGGUGACUUUAAUCAGGGAGCCACGGUAACUGCCACUUGAACAAACUGCCUUCCGGCCCCACCCAUGAAAUCUACACCCAGAAGGAACAAGGCUAGCACAUAAAUACAGUGAGAAAAUCAGGUUUUUAAUAAAA
This 517-nucleotide long non-coding RNA is filed under the name Rattus norvegicus (Norway rat). Its description in RNAcentral is "long non-coding RNA NONRATT005076". Lineage: Eukaryota; Metazoa; Chordata; Mammalia; Rodentia; Muridae. The record is from RNAcentral.